Molecule: ribosomal RNA, 492 nt
Filed under: uncultured bacterium
Lineage: Bacteria
Description: partial 16S ribosomal RNA
Rfam family: Bacterial small subunit ribosomal RNA
Source: RNAcentral
AGUGAACGCUGGCGGUAGGCCUAACACAUGCAAGUCGAACGGCAGCACAGUAAGAGCUUGCUCUUACGGGUGGCGAGUGGCGGACGGGUGAGGAAUACAUCGGAAUCUACUUUUUCGUGGGGGAUAACGUAGGGAAACUUACGCUAAUACCGCAUACGACCUACGGGUGAAAGCAGGGGAUCUUCGGACCUUGCGCGAUUGAAUGAGCCGAUGUCGGAUUAGCUAGUUGGCGGGGUAAAGGCCCACCAAGGCGACGAUCCGUAGCUGGUCUGAGAGGAUGAACCGCCACACUGGAACUGAGACACGGUCCCGACUCCUACGGGAGGGAGCAGUGGGGAAUAUUGGACAAUGGGGGGAAGCCUGAUCCAGCCAUACCGCGUGGGUGAAGAAGGCCUUCGGGUUGUAAAGCCCUUUUGUUGGGAAAGAAAAGCAGCAGGUUAAUACCCCGCUGUUCUGACGGUACCCAAAGAAUAAGCACCGGCUAACUUCGUG